UCUCAGAAAACAAACAAACAGAAAAUUAAAGUCUUCUCUUCGAUUCUCAUUUUUUAUUGCUUCGUCAAAGAAGAAAAAGAAUGAGAAAGAAAAGGAAUAGUCCUUGAUAAUAAAGAAGAUUUUUGUAUUUAAACUCUUAAUUUUCAUAACAUUAUUCAGGUAUUAUUUCUGAAUGCCAGCAAGAAAGAUCUCAGCUGAAGAACAGGGAGCUGGCUAUGAAAAAGUUACGUGCAAGGUUAUACAGCAUGCGUCUAGAGGAAGAAACUGCUAAAAGAUACAGCGCUCGAAAGAUCCAGGUUGGAACUAAAGGAAGAUCAGAGAAAAUAAGAACAUACAACUUUCCACAAAAUAGGGUCACAGAUCACAGAAUAAACAAAUCACUACAUGACCUUGAGAGCUUCAUGCAAGGAGACUGUCUUCUGGAUGACCUGAUACAGUCACUGAAGGACUAUUCAGAUUAUGAAUCUCUAGUAGAAAUGAUUUCCAGAAAAGACUAAGCUUCUUUGUAAAGAUAUAUGUUUUUAAUAUACACUGGGAAAAUUCU
This 544-nucleotide long non-coding RNA is filed under the name Rattus norvegicus (Norway rat). RNAcentral describes it as "long non-coding RNA NONRATT002105". The record is from RNAcentral. Lineage: Eukaryota; Metazoa; Chordata; Mammalia; Rodentia; Muridae.